AGCAGCCGCAGUAAUUCCAGCUCCAAUAGCGUAUAUUAAAGUUGUUGCAGUUAAAAAGCUCGUAGUUGAAUUUCGGGACCAAUUUGUUGGUCGUGCCUCGGUACGUACUGGUAUUAUUGGUUUCUCCCUUCUGAAGAACCUCGAUGUCAUUAAUUUGGUGUCGUGGGGAAUCAGGACUGUUACUUUGAAAAAAUUAGAGUGUUUAAAGCAGGCAUACGCUUGAAUACAUUAGCAUGGAAUAAUGAAAUAGGACGUUUGAUUCUAUUUUGUUGGUUUCUAGGAUCGACGUAAUGAUUAAUAGGGAUAGUUGGGGGCAUUAGUAUUCAAUUGUCAGAGGUGAAAUUCUUGGAUUUAUUGAAGACUAACUACUGCGAAAGCAUUUGCCAAGGAUGUUUUCAUUAAUCAAGAACGAAAGUUAGGGGAUCGAAGACGAUCAGAUACCGUCGUAGUCUUAACCAUAAACUAUGCCGACUAGGGAUCGGAUGAUGUAAUUUUUAAUGACUCAUUCGGCGCCUUACGG
This 520-nucleotide ribosomal RNA is filed under the name uncultured Glomus. Its description in RNAcentral is "SSU rRNA". It matches the Rfam family "Eukaryotic small subunit ribosomal RNA", at positions 569 to 1093 of the family's 1831-position model. Lineage: Eukaryota; Fungi; Glomeromycota; Glomeromycetes; Glomerales; Glomeraceae. The record is from RNAcentral.